UUGAACGCUGGCGGCAUGCUUUACACAUGCAAGUCGAACGGCAGCACGGGGGCAACCCUGGUGGCGAGUGGCGAACGGGUGAGUAAUGCAUCGGAACGUACCGUGUAAUGGGGGAUAACGAGUCGAAAGACUUGCUAAUACCGCAUACGCCCUGAGGGGGAAAGUGGGGGAUCGUAAGACCUCACGUUAUACGAGCGGCCGAUGCCGGAUUAGCUAGUUGGUAGGGUAAAGGCCUACCAAGGCGACGAUCCGUAGCGGGUCUGAGAGGAUGAUCCGCCACACUGGGACUGAGACACGGCCCAGACUCCUACGGGAGGCAGCAGUGGGGAAUUUUGGACAAUGGGGGCAACCCUGAUCCAGCCAUGCCGCGUGAGUGAAGAAGGCCUUCGGGUUGUAAAGCUCUUUCAGACGGAAAGAAAACGCAUCGGUGAAUACCCGGUGUGGAUGACGGUACCGUAAGAAGAAGCACCGGCUAACUACGU
RNAcentral lists this ribosomal RNA (482 nucleotides) under uncultured bacterium. Its description in RNAcentral is "bacterial SSU rRNA". It matches the Rfam family "Bacterial small subunit ribosomal RNA", at positions 29 to 506 of the family's 1533-position model. The record is from RNAcentral.